Molecule: long non-coding RNA, 1185 nt
Organism: Anguilla rostrata (American eel)
Lineage: Eukaryota; Metazoa; Chordata; Actinopteri; Anguilliformes; Anguillidae
Exons: 3
Source: RefSeq, a predicted model, not a curated record
AGAAGAACCGUGAACGAACUUCCGCUUUACCUCCCUAUUGGAUAAUUAUCCAGCUGUGUCUUGUGCAUCAUUUAUGUAUGCAUACAAUAGCUAACAAAAGGUGUAUAGUUUAUUCUAGCUGUGGUAUUUGCAUUUGGGGUUUUGUUGUCUCUUAACAUGAGGACCAGAGAAGUGUCGAUGCCAGUAAAGCAGGCCAUUAUUAAGCUGAAAAAUGAGAAAAAAUCGAUCAGAGACAUAGCCGAAACACUGGGUGUGUCAAAAUCAACUGUUUGGAACAUUAUUAAGAAGCAAGAACGCACAGGUCAGCUCAUCAACAGCAAAUCAUCUGGUAGGCCACGGAAGACGUCUGUGGUGGAUGACCAAAAAAUACUUUCAAUUGUCAAGAAAAAGCCCUUUUCAACUGCCGAACAGAUCAAGAACACUCUCCAGGAUGUAGGUGUAGAUGUGUCAAAGACUACCAUAAGGAGAAGACUACACCAGCAUAACUUCAGAUGGUUCACCUCAAGAUGCAAACCACUGGAUAAUAUGACCUCCCUCCCUCAGGACCAAAGUGGGAUGUCACUGCUCCAGGAGCAAGUUAGAAGAGAGAUCUUGCAGAGGAUGCAAACAAGGUUCAGCUCCAUCAUUGAUAGUGAAACGAUGGAUUUGGAGGACCUCCUAAACGUGGCUCAACAAGAGCUUGCUCUGGCUACAGCGACAUCCCAUCACAUUAACAUCCCAGAGGAACUAGUCUGCAGUCUGCAGGAGCUGAUCUGCAGACUCAGCCAGUCCAUGCAAUCUGUUGCAGAGGCACCAGCUAAUCCCUCAGAUAUUGUAUCUGUUACUUCGAACCAUUCCCCUUCCCCUGAAUGAAUGUUUUCCAUCCCACCCCCUUUUAGGUCAGCCUAUGCUGAUUUGCCAACAUUCUGUCAAAUUAUGUCUACUAUUCAUAUAAUGUGCUUGUACUUGUAAAUGCAUAAACAAGUUUCUCAUAAAACAUUGUUUUUGUUAAUAGGAUGCCCUUUUUAUUAUUGUUCAUGGACAUUGUUUGGUCCCUUUUUUCAUUUUCUAUUUCAAGUGGCCAAUCACAGUGCUGCCCACCAGAGGUGGGACUUUAAAUGGAUGACUGUUUCCUGUUACUGAACACUGAUAUUGAUGAAGCCCUGAUGGGCAAAACGUCUGUUCAAUAAAUCAGACUUUCUUGAA